CUUGAGCUUGAUCCCUGGCUCAGGAUGAACGCUGGCGGCGUGCUUAACACAUGCAAGUCGAACGAUGACCCGGUGCUUGCACCGGUGAUUAGUGGCGAACGGGUGAGUAACACGUGAGUAACCUGCCCUUAACUCUGGGAUAAGCCUGGGAAACUGGGUCUAAUACCGGAUAUGACUCCUCAUCGCAUGGUGGGGGGUGGAAAGCUUUAUUGUGGUUUUGGAUGGACUCGCGGCCUAUCAGCUUGUUGGUGAGGUAAUGGCUCACCAAGGCGACGACGGGUAGCCGGCCUGAGAGGGUGACCGGCCACACUGGGACUGAGACACGGCCCAGACUCCUACGGGAGGCAGCAGUGGGGAAUAUUGCACAAUGGGCGCAAGCCUGAUGCAGCGACGCCGCGUGAGGGAUGACGGCCUUCGGGUUGUAAACCUCUUUCAGUAGGGAAGAAGCGAAAGUGACGGUACCUGCAGAAGAAGCGCCGGCUA
Molecule: ribosomal RNA, 483 nt
Filed under: Micrococcineae bacterium CL3.122
Lineage: Bacteria; Bacillati; Actinomycetota; Actinomycetes; Micrococcales
Description: bacterial SSU rRNA
Rfam family: Bacterial small subunit ribosomal RNA
Source: RNAcentral